AUACAGAGGGUGCGAGCGUUAAUCGGAAUUACUGGGCGUAAAGCGCGCGUAGGCGGUCUAUUAAGUCAGAUGUGAAAUCCCAGGGCUCAACCUUGGAACUGCAUCUGAUACUGGGAGACUAGAGUUUUGGAGAGGGAAGUAGAAUUUCAGGUGUAGCGGUGAAAUGCAUAGAGAUCUGAAGGAAUACCAGUGGCGAAGGCGACUUCCUGGCCAAAAACUGACGCUGAGGUGCGAAAGCAUGGGUAGCAAACGGGAUUAGAUACCCUAGUAGUCC
RNAcentral lists this ribosomal RNA (274 nucleotides) under uncultured bacterium. RNAcentral describes it as "partial 16S ribosomal RNA". It matches the Rfam family "Bacterial small subunit ribosomal RNA", at positions 523 to 796 of the family's 1533-position model. The record is from RNAcentral.